GACGAACGCUGGCGGCGUGCCUAAUACAUGCAAGUCGAACGAACCGCGACUAGGUGCUUGCACUUGGUCAAGGUGAGUGGCGAACGGGUGAGUAACACGUGGGUAACCUACCUCAUAGUGGAGGAUAACAGUCGGAAACGACUGCUAAUACCGCAUAGGACAUAGGAUCACAUGAUCCAGUGAGGAAAGGUGGCGCAAGCUAUCGCUAAGAGAUGGACCCGCGGUGCAUUAGCUAGUUGGUAGGGUAAAGGCCUACCAAGGCGAUGAUGCAUAGCCGACCUGAGAGGGUGAUCGGCCACAUUGGGACUGAGACACGGCCCAAACUCCUACGGGAGGCAGCAGUAGGGAAUCUUCCGCAAUGGACGCAAGUCUGACGGAGCAACGCCGCGUGAGUGAAGAAGGUCUUCGGAUCGUAAAGCUCUGUUGUUAGAGAAGAACAGCGCAUAGAGUAACUGUUAUGCGUGUGACGGUAUCUAACCAGAAAGCCACGGCUAACUACGUG
This 502-nucleotide ribosomal RNA is filed under the name uncultured bacterium. Its description in RNAcentral is "partial 16S ribosomal RNA". It matches the Rfam family "Bacterial small subunit ribosomal RNA", at positions 28 to 507 of the family's 1533-position model. The record is from RNAcentral.